This 245-nucleotide long non-coding RNA is filed under the name Amazona collaria (yellow-billed parrot). RNAcentral describes it as "lncRNA (ENSACOG00000016255.1)". The record is from RNAcentral. Lineage: Eukaryota; Metazoa; Chordata; Aves; Psittaciformes; Psittacidae.
AAGAAUAAUUUCUACCCUGUGACUUCGCCAGCCAACAAAAGCCACGUUUCCUGCAGCUCUGUAGUCUCUAGCUCUGAGGGGCAUCUCAACUACCUCAACUUUAAUGAGUCACCUGAACAUCUAGAAUUGACUAUGCUAUCCUUUAUCCUGCAGAAAAGGUAGAACUAGUUGAAGAAACUUACCUGCUGAAGGUCUGCGAGAGAAUAAAGAUGGAUUUGCUGGAGAAGAUACUCUCUGGGAAAAAU